GAUGAACGCUGGCGGCGUGCCUAAUACUUGCAAGUCGAGCGAACAGACGAGGAGCUUGCUCCUCUGACGUUAGCGGCGGACGGGUGAGUAACACGUGGAUAACCUACCUAUAAGACUGGGAUAACUUCGGGAAACCGGAGCUAAUACCGGAUAAUAUAUUGAACCGCAUGGUUCAAUAGUGAAAGACGGUUUUGCUGUCACUUAUAGAUGGAUCCGCGCCGCAUUAGCUAGUUGGUAAGGUAACGGCUUACCAAGGCAACGAUGCGUAGCCGACCUGAGAGGGUGAUCGGCCACACUGGAACUGAGACACGGUCCAGACUCCUACGGGAGGCAGCAGUAGGGAAUCUUCCGCAAUGGGCGAAAGCUUGACGGAGCAACGCCGCGUGAGUGAUGAAGGUCUUCGGAUCGUAAAACUCUGUUAUUAGGGAAGAACAAAUGUGUAAGUAACUAUGCACGUCUUGACGGUACCUAAUCAGAAAGCCACGGCUAACUACGUG
Molecule: ribosomal RNA, 497 nt
Filed under: uncultured bacterium
Lineage: Bacteria
Description: partial 16S ribosomal RNA
Rfam family: Bacterial small subunit ribosomal RNA
Source: RNAcentral